AGAGUUUGAUCAUGGCUCAGAACGAACGCUGGCGGCGUGGAUAAGACAUGCAAGUCGAACGAGAUUUUUUCCUGUAGCAAUACAGGGAAAAGUCUAGUGGCGAACGGGUGCGUAACACGUGGGCAAUCUGCCUUAAAGUGGGGGAUAGCUCGGCGAAAGCCGAAUUAAUACCGCAUGUGAUCAGGGGAGACAUCUUCCCGAAAUCAAAAGUGGCGCAAGCUACUGCUUUUUGAGGAGCCCGCGGCCUAUCAGCUAGUUGGUGAGAUAACGGCUCACCAAGGCUUUGACGGGUAGCUGGUCUGAGAGGACGACCAGUCACACUGGAACUGAGACACGGUCCAGACACCUACGGGUGGCAGCAGUCGAGAAUUUUUCUCAAUGGGGGAAACCCUGAAGGAGCGACGCCGCGUGGAGGAUGAAGGUCUUCGGGUUGUAAACUCCUGUCAUUUGGGAACAAGUCGUACGUAGUAACUAUACGUGCGUUGAUAGUACCAGAAGAGGAAGGGACGGCUAACUCUGUGCCAGCAGCCGCGGUAAUACAGAGGUCCCAAGCGUUGUUCGGAUUCAUUGGGCGUAAAGGGUGUGUAGGUGGCGCCGUAAGUCGGGUGUGAAAUUUCGGAGCUUAACUCCGAAACUGCAUUCGAUACUGCGGUGCUUGAGGACUGGAGAGGAGACUGGAAUUCAUGGUGUAGCAGUGAAAUGCGUAGAGAUCAUGAGGAAGACCAGUGGCGAAGGCGGGUCUCUGGACAGUUCCUGACACUGAGACACGAAGGCCAGGGGAGCAAACGGGAUUAGAUACCCCCGUAGUCC
RNAcentral lists this ribosomal RNA (810 nucleotides) under uncultured bacterium. RNAcentral's name for it is "bacterial SSU rRNA". It matches the Rfam family "Bacterial small subunit ribosomal RNA", at positions 8 to 796 of the family's 1533-position model. The record is from RNAcentral.